UACGGAGGGUGCAAGCGUUGCUCGGAAUUAUUGGGCGUAAAGGGCAGGUAGGUGGUCUCAUUUGUCUGGGGUGAAAGCCUUGAGCUUAACUCAAGAAGUGCCCCAGAAACGGUGAGACUGGAGUCCUGGAGAGGGUCGUGGAAUUCCCGGUGUAGCGGUGAAAUGCGUAGAGAUCCGGAGGAACACCAGCGGCGAAGGCGGCAUCCUGGACUGGUCCUGACACUCAUGAGCGAAAGCGUGGGGAGCGAUCCGG
RNAcentral lists this ribosomal RNA (253 nucleotides) under uncultured bacterium. Its description in RNAcentral is "partial 16S ribosomal RNA". It matches the Rfam family "Bacterial small subunit ribosomal RNA", at positions 524 to 776 of the family's 1533-position model. The record is from RNAcentral.